This 73-nucleotide transfer RNA is filed under the name Spirulina sp. SIO3F2. RNAcentral's name for it is "tRNA-Phe". It matches the Rfam family "tRNA". Rfam says of the family: Transfer RNA (tRNA) molecules are approximately 80 nucleotides in length. Their secondary structure includes four short double-helical elements and three loops (D, anti-codon, and T loops). The record is from RNAcentral. Lineage: Bacteria; Bacillati; Cyanobacteriota; Cyanophyceae; Spirulinales; Spirulinaceae.
GCCAGGAUAGCUCAGUCGGUAGAGCAGAGGACUGAAAAUCCUCGUGUCGGCGGUUCGAUUCCGCCUCCCGGCA